RNAcentral lists this transfer RNA (86 nucleotides) under Elusimicrobiota bacterium. RNAcentral's name for it is "Elusimicrobia bacterium (groundwater metagenome) tRNA-Leu". It matches the Rfam family "tRNA". Rfam says of the family: Transfer RNA (tRNA) molecules are approximately 80 nucleotides in length. The record is from RNAcentral. Lineage: Bacteria; Pseudomonadati; Elusimicrobiota.
GCCGGCGUGGUGGAAUGGCAGACACGCGGGUCUCAAAAACCCGUGUCCGUUAUGCGGGCAUGUCGGUUCAACUCCGACCGCCGGCA